UGUGAGGGGAGUGAAAUAGAACCUGAAACCGUGUACGUACAAGCAGUAGGAGCACCUUCGUGGUGUGACUGCGUACCUUUUGUAUAAUGGGUCAGCGACUUAUAUUCAGUGGCAAGGUUAACCGUAUAGGGGAGCCGUAGCGAAAGCGAGUCUUAACUGGGCGCUCAGUCUCUGGAUAUAGACCCGAAACCGGGUGAUCUAGCCAUGGGCAGGUUGAAGGUUGAGUAACAUCAACUGGAGGACCGAACCGACUAAUGUUGAAAAAUUAGCGGAUGACUUGUGGCUAGGGGUGAAAGGCCAAUCAAACUCGGAGAUAGCUGGUUCUCCCCGAAAGCUAUUUAGGUAGCGCCUCGGACGAAUACUACUGGGGGUAGAGCACUGUUAAGGCUAGGGGGUCAUCCCGACUUACCAACCCUUUGCAAACUCCGAAUACCAGUAAGUACUAUCCGGGAGACACACGGCGGGUGCUAACGUCCGUCGUGGAGAGGGAAACAACCCAGACCGCCAGCUAAGGUCCCAAAGUAUUGCUAAGUGGGAAACGAUGUGGGAAGGCUCAGACAGCUAGGAUGUUGGCUUAGAAGCAGCCAUCAUUUAAAGAAAGCGUAAUAGCUCACUAGUCGAGUCGGCCUGCGCGGAAGAUGUAACGGGGCUAAGCAAUACACCGAAGCUGCGGCAAUGUCUUUUAGA
RNAcentral lists this ribosomal RNA (687 nucleotides) under Vibrio cholerae. Its description in RNAcentral is "partial 23S ribosomal RNA". It matches the Rfam family "Bacterial large subunit ribosomal RNA", at positions 528 to 1219 of the family's 2925-position model. The record is from RNAcentral. Lineage: Bacteria; Pseudomonadati; Pseudomonadota; Gammaproteobacteria; Vibrionales; Vibrionaceae.